GCAGUCGAACGAUGAAGCUUCUAGCUUGCUAGAAGUGGAUUAGUGGCGCACGGGUGAGUAAGGUAUAGUUAAUCUGCCCUACACAAGAGGACAACAGUUGGAAACGACUGCUAAUACUCUAUACUCCUGCUUAACACAAGUUGAGUAGGGAAAGUUUUUCGGUGUAGGAUGAGACUAUAUAGUAUCAGCUAGUUGGUAAGGUAAUGGCUUACCAAGGCUAUGACGCUUAACUGGUCUGAGAGGAUGAUCAGUCACACUGGAACUGAGACACGGUCCAGACUCCUACGGGAGGCAGCAGUAGGGAAUAUUGCGCAAUGGGGGAAACCCUGACGCAGCAACGCCGCGUGGAGGAUGACACUUUUCGGAGCGUAAACUCCUUUUCUUAGGGAAGAAUUCUGACGGUACCUAAGGAAUAAGCACCGGCUAACUCCGUGCCAGCAGCCGCGGUAAUACGGAGGGUGCAAGCGUUACUCGGAAUCACUGGGCGUAAAGGGCGCGUAGGCGGAUUAUCAAGUCUCUUGUGAAAUCUAAUGGCUUAACCAUUAAACUGCUUGGGAAACUGAUAGUCUGGAGUGAGGGAGAGGCAGAUGGAAUUGGUGGUGUAGGGGUAAAAUCCGUAGAUAUCACCAAGAAUACCCAUUGCGAAGGCGAUCUGCUGGAACUCAACUGACGCUAAGGCGCGAAAGCGUGGGGGAGCAAACAGGAUUAGAUACCCUGGUAGUCCACGCCCUAAACGAUGUACACUAGUUGUUGGGGUGCUAGUCAUCUCAGUAAUGCAGCUAACGCAUUAAGUGUACCGCCUGGGGAGUACGGUCGCAAGAUUAAAACUCAAAGGAAUAGACGGGGACCCGCACAAGCGGUGGAGCAUGUGGUUUAAUUCGAAGAUACGCGAAGAACCUUACCUGGGCUUGAUAUCCUAAGAACCUUUUAGAGAUAAGAGGGUGCUAGCUUGCUAGAACUUAGAGACAGGUGCUGCACGGCUGUCGUCAGCUCGUGUCGUGAGAUGUUGGGUUAAGUCCCGCAACGAGCGCAACCCACGUAUUUAGUUGCUAACGGUUCGGCCGAGCACUCUAAAUAGACUGCCUUCGUAAGGAGGAGGAAGGUGUGGACGACGUCAAGUCAUCAUGGCCCUUAUGCCCAGGGCGACACACGUGCUACAAUGGCAUAUACAAUGAGACGCAAUACCGCGAGGUGGAGCAAAUCUAUAAAAUAUGUCCCAGUUCGGAUUGUUCUCUGCAACUCGAGAGCAUGAAGCCGGAAUCGCUAGUAAUCGUAGAUCAGCCAUGCUACGGUGAAUACGUUCCCGGGUCUUGUACUCACCGCCCGUCACACCAUGGGAGUUGAUUCACUCGAAGCCGGAAUACUA
This 1366-nucleotide ribosomal RNA is filed under the name Campylobacter jejuni. Its description in RNAcentral is "bacterial SSU rRNA". It matches the Rfam family "Bacterial small subunit ribosomal RNA". The record is from RNAcentral. Lineage: Bacteria; Pseudomonadati; Campylobacterota; Epsilonproteobacteria; Campylobacterales; Campylobacteraceae.